RNAcentral lists this ribosomal RNA (825 nucleotides) under uncultured Staphylococcus sp. RNAcentral's name for it is "bacterial SSU rRNA". It matches the Rfam family "Bacterial small subunit ribosomal RNA", at positions 85 to 896 of the family's 1533-position model. Lineage: Bacteria; Bacillati; Bacillota; Bacilli; Caryophanales; Staphylococcaceae. The record is from RNAcentral.
UCUGAUGUUAGCGGCGGACGGGUGAGUAACACGUGGAUAACCUACCUAUAAGACUGGGAUAACUUCGGGAAACCGGAGCUAAUACCGGAUAAUAUUUUGAACCGCAUGGUUCAAAAGUGAAAGACGGUCUUGCUGUCACUUAUAGAUGGAUCCGCGCUGCAUUAGCUAGUUGGUAAGGUAACGGCUUACCAAGGCAACGAUGCAUAGCCGACCUGAGAGGGUGAUCGGCCACACUGGAACUGAGACACGGUCCAGACUCCUACGGGAGGCAGCAGUAGGGAAUCUUCCGCAAUGGGCGAAAGCCUGACGGAGCAACGCCGCGUGAGUGAUGAAGGUCUUCGGAUCGUAAAACUCUGUUAUUAGGGAAGAACAUAUGUGUAAGUAACUGUGCACAUCUUGACGGUACCUAAUCAGAAAGCCACGGCUAACUACGUGCCAGCAGCCGCGGUAAUACGUAGGUGGCAAGCGUUAUCCGGAAUUAUUGGGCGUAAAGCGCGCGUAGGCGGUUUUUUAAGUCUGAUGUGAAAGCCCACGGCUCAACCGUGGAGGGCCAUUGGAAACUGGAAAACUUGAGUGCAGAAGAGGAAAGUGGAAUUCCAUGUGUAGCGGUGAAAUGCGCAGAGAUAUGGAGGAACACCAGUGGCGAAGGCGACUUUCUGGUCUGUAACUGACGCUGAUGUGCGAAAGCGUGGGGAUCAAACAGGAUUAGAUACCCUGGUAGUCCACGCCGUAAACGAUGAGUGCUAAGUGUUAGGGGGUUUCCGCCCCUUAGUGCUGCAGCUAACGCAUUAAGCACUCCGCCUGGGGAGUACGACCGCCAGGUUG